This 492-nucleotide ribosomal RNA is filed under the name uncultured bacterium. RNAcentral's name for it is "partial 16S ribosomal RNA". It matches the Rfam family "Bacterial small subunit ribosomal RNA", at positions 29 to 507 of the family's 1533-position model. The record is from RNAcentral.
AGUGAACGCUGGCGGUAGGCCUAACACAUGCAAGUCGAACGGCAGCACAGUAAGAGCUUGCUCUUACGGGUGGCGAGUGGCGGACGGGUGAGGAAUACAUCGGAAUCUACUUUUUCGUGGGGGAUAACGUAGGGAAACUUACGCUAAUACCGCAUACGACCUACGGGUGAAAGCAGGGGAUCUUCGGACCUUGCGCGAUUGAAUGAGCCGAUGUCGGAUUAGCUAGUUGGCGGGGUAAAGGCCCACCAAGGCGACGAUCCGUAGCUGGUCUGAGAGGAUGAUCAGCCACACUGGAACUGAGACACGGUCCAGACGCCUACGGGAGGCAGCAGUGGGGAAUAUUGGACAAUGGGCGCAAGCCUGAUCCAGCCAUACCGCGUGGGUGAAGAAGGCCUUCGGGUUGUAAAGCCCUUUUGUUGGGAAAGAAAAGCAGCAGGUUAAUACCCCGCUGUUCUGACGGUACCCAAAGAAUAAGCACCGGCUAACUCCGUG